Homo sapiens (human) is the source of this 621-nucleotide long non-coding RNA. The record is from Ensembl. NCBI's taxonomy places the organism in Eukaryota, Metazoa, Chordata, Mammalia, Primates, Hominidae.
GAGGUGGGGGAGGGGGGAAGAGAGGCGCUCGGGGAGCUGGGACGGGCACCGGGUUGGGGGGUCCCGGAACCCCUGAAAGUUCAGUGACACCUCCAUAGUUCCCUCUUCCCCCUGCAACAAGAAUCACUCCAAACUUCCCAAACACUUUGGACCCAGCAAUUUCCAGGAGUUCAUCCUGAUGAGAGAACUGAAAGGUGUGCACACGUUAGUAACAAGGAGGCCUGGUGACCGCCUAAGCGUCCAAUCGCGGGGACCACCGGGUCGAGGCCGAGAGGAUGGAGACCGCAUCACAGGCACCUCGCUGCUGGAAUGGAGGGUGGUGGGGAGAACUUAGAAGAUUAUGCAAUGGGCUGGCAGGGCUAUACCCAGCCGCCCUGGUAAGCAGAAACUCAAGAAACCUCUAGGGUCCUGUUUUCUGGUCGUAUGAUCCCAGGAGUGCACAUGAGCCCCUCGGGUGUCUGAACAGAAGGGCAUAGGAGGGAGGGCCGCAGCCCUGCAGUCUUACUCUGCUGGUGUAGCGGUCACCUGCCAACUCCCACCCCACCCUGCACCGCGGGCUCCUGAGUCGGCAGAUUAAGCAUUUUAUAAAUUCUAUUUUAAAUACGUGUUUUAAACUUGUCA